Molecule: non-coding RNA, 48 nt
Filed under: Echinostoma caproni
Lineage: Eukaryota; Metazoa; Platyhelminthes; Trematoda; Plagiorchiida; Echinostomatidae
Source: RNAcentral
GCACUGGUGACGAGUCCCCAAAAACAGGACGAAACAGCUGUCCAGUGC